This 922-nucleotide ribosomal RNA is filed under the name Chiloplacus propinquus. RNAcentral's name for it is "SSU rRNA". It matches the Rfam family "Eukaryotic small subunit ribosomal RNA", at positions 39 to 966 of the family's 1831-position model. The record is from RNAcentral. Lineage: Eukaryota; Metazoa; Nematoda; Chromadorea; Rhabditida; Cephalobidae.
AAAGAUUAAGCCAUGCAUGUCUAAGUAUAAACGAUCUAAUCGUGAAACCGCGAAUGGCUCAUUAUAACAGCUAUAAUUUACUUGAUCCUGACACUAUCCUACUUGGAUAACUGUGGUAAUUCUAGAGCUAAUACAUGCAUUAAAGCUCUGACCUCACGGGAAGAGUGCACUUAUUAGAACAAAACCAAGCGGCUUCGGCUGUUUUCGGUUGACUCAUAGUAACUGAGCUGAUCGCACGGUCUUGCACCGGCGACGUGUCUUUCAAGUAUCUGCCGUAUCAACUUUCGAUGGUAGUGUAUCUGACUACCAUGGUGAUCACGCGUAACGGAGAAUAAGGGUUCGGCUCCGGAGAGUUCGCCUGAGAAAUCGCGAACACAUCUAAGGAAGGCAGCAGGCGCGAAAAUCACCCACUCUCAGCACGAGGAGGUAGUGACGAAAAAUAACGAGACCGUUCUCUUAUGAGGCCGGUCAUCGGAAUGGGUACAAUUUAAACCCUUUAACGAGUAUCUAUGAGAGGGCAAGUCUGGUGCCAGCAGCCGCGGUAAUUCCAGCUCUCAAAGUGCAUAGAAUUAUUGCUGCGGUUAAAAAGCUCGUAGUUGGAUCUGUGCCAUAGGACGUGGUCCACCUUCUGGGUGCGUACUAUGUUCCUAGGCUUUUUGCUGGUUUUCCCGUCGUAGCCUUCAUUGGUUGCGGCGGGUGGCUGGCGAGUUUACUUUGAGAAAAUCAGAGUGCUCAACACAGGCGUAUCGCUUGAAUGAUUGUGCAUGGAAUAAUAGAAAAGGAUUUCGGUCCUCUUUUAUUGGUUUUGUGGACUGAGAUAAUGGUUAACAGGGACCAACGGGGGCACUCGUAUCGCUGCGUGAGAGGUGAAAUUCUUGGACCGUAGCGAGACGCCCUACUGCGAAAGCAUUUGCCAAGAAUG